GGCUCCAUAACUAAGUUGGUUAGAGCGCCAGUCUAGUAAACUGGAGGUCGAGGGUACAAAUUCCACUGGAGCCU
Potamilus streckersoni is the source of this 74-nucleotide non-coding RNA. Lineage: Eukaryota; Metazoa; Mollusca; Bivalvia; Unionida; Unionidae. The record is from the annotation of a GenBank genome assembly.